CCUACGGGCGGUAGCAGUGAGGAAUAUUGGUCAAUGGGCGCGAGCCUGAACCAGCCAAGUCGCGUGAGGGAAGACGGUCCUAUGGAUUGUAAACUUCUUUUAUAUGGGAAUAAAAUGUUCCACGUGUGGGAUUUUGUAUGUACCAUAUGAAUAAGGAUCGGCUAACUCCGUGCCAGCAGCCGCGGUAAUACGGAGGAUCCGAGCGUUAUCCGGAUUUAUUGGGUUUAAAGGGAGCGUAGGUGGAUUGUUAAGUCAGUUGUGAAAGUUUGCGGCUCAACCGUAAAAUUGCAGUUGAAACUGGCAGUCUUGAGUACAGUAGAGGUGGGCGGAAUUCGUGGUGUAGCGGUGAAAUGCUUAGAUAUCACGAAGAACUCCGAUUGCGAAGGCAGCUCACUGGACUGCAACUGACACUGAGGCUCGAAAGUGUGGGUAUCAAACAGGAUUAGAUACCCGAGUAGUC
Molecule: ribosomal RNA, 460 nt
Filed under: uncultured bacterium
Lineage: Bacteria
Description: partial 16S ribosomal RNA
Rfam family: Bacterial small subunit ribosomal RNA
Source: RNAcentral